Molecule: long non-coding RNA, 578 nt
Organism: Lineus longissimus
Lineage: Eukaryota; Metazoa; Nemertea; Pilidiophora; Heteronemertea; Lineidae
Exons: 2
Source: RefSeq, a predicted model, not a curated record
GAUGAAGAGAUUGAAGCCUGGGCUGCACACAAUCCUGUUAGUAACAAAAAAAGAAGGAAAAAAUGCUGUCCCAUUUGUCCAUAUGCCCAGCGCCAGAACCCAUUUAUACAUCUGGGUAGUGAGAAAAUCUAGGAAGAAGUCGCCACCCACUGAUGAUCUCAUCCAAGUUUACCAAAGACUUCAAAGCAGUGCAGGAGAGGAAUGGUGGCCUGUUCGAACAGGCAUGGACUGAAUCGCCAGCUCUCAUCUCCCUAGUCACUCCGAUGGCCACGUGUCGCUCCUCGAUCAACAGCGAUUUCAAUAAAUGAUGCGUUGAUGUGGGCAAAAAGUGAAUCCUUUCUCGCCUUUGAACUCUGGUGUUCGUCAUAUCAAUCCAUUUUGAUUGUCGAGCAACUUGUGGGCACACCUCAACUUGUUAGUGGGAAGUAAUUUGCAAUAGAGUGACUUACUUUUAUUGCUGUAUUUUUUCACUUCACAUCAUUGUUAUUUUGAAAAAGCCUGCCAAAAUUCUGUUGACUGUUUGUUGUCGACAAGAGUCUAUGUUUCAUGAAUAACAAGGCUGUGUUCUGUACAUUGUA